GUUUUUAGUCCAUUUGACGGACGAGUACGCCGUGUAGUAGUUCUCUAAAAACACUUCUUUGAAGUUGCAGCUGUCGUUGUAGUCUUUCUGUCCGGGAAAGAAGAACAGAUGGUAAGGAUGGAUGGCUUCAUACUUUGCCCUGUAACAUUCCGGUGCGGUUCAUGGAAAUAUAAUACUGGCUCUUCAGUCCUUUUAUAGCCAACACGCCGCCCUCCGAAACCGUCCUGAUCUCCAGAACACCUGAAACACAGACAGAGACCGACCCGAACACAUGAAGACACGCAGACGAUGUGCGCUUCAGUCCAGACGGUUCCACUGUGAUACACGGAGAGAGGGAGUUUCGGGGCCGCCCGUCUGCGCUGUGCAUCUUCUCGUGUUGCUGAGCUCUGUGCGAUCUCUGAU
This is a long non-coding RNA of Carassius auratus (goldfish), 402 nucleotides long. RefSeq lists it as uncharacterized. NCBI's taxonomy places the organism in Eukaryota, Metazoa, Chordata, Actinopteri, Cypriniformes, Cyprinidae. The record is from RefSeq and is a predicted model, not a curated record. The transcript has 3 exons.